UACGUAGGGGGCUAGCGUUGUCCGGAAUCAUUGGGCGUAAAGAGCGUGUAGGCGGUCCGGUAAGUCCGCUGUGAAAGUCGGGGGCUCAACCCUCGAAUGCCGGUGGAUACUGUCGGGCUAGAGUACGGAAGGGGCGAGUGGAAUUCCUGGUGUAGCGGUGAAAUGCGCAGAUAUCAGGAGGAACACCAAUGGCGAAGGCAGCUCGCUGGAACGGUACUGACGCUGAGGCGCGAAAGCGUGGGGAGCGAACAGG
Molecule: ribosomal RNA, 253 nt
Filed under: uncultured bacterium
Lineage: Bacteria
Description: partial 16S ribosomal RNA
Rfam family: Bacterial small subunit ribosomal RNA
Source: RNAcentral